Molecule: ribosomal RNA, 123 nt
Filed under: Bison bison bison
Lineage: Eukaryota; Metazoa; Chordata; Mammalia; Artiodactyla; Bovidae
Source: RNAcentral
UCUCAGGACCGGAUCAGCCUGAAGGACGCCCGAUCUCGUACUGAUCUCGGAAGUCUAAGCAGGGUCGGGACCUGGUUAGUAUCUUGGAUGGGAGACCACCUGGGAAUCCCGGGUGCUCGAGGC